RNAcentral lists this ribosomal RNA (413 nucleotides) under uncultured bacterium. RNAcentral describes it as "bacterial SSU rRNA". It matches the Rfam family "Bacterial small subunit ribosomal RNA", at positions 954 to 1392 of the family's 1533-position model. The record is from RNAcentral.
GCUUAACGCGAAGAACCUUACCCACCUUUGACAUCCCGUGCUAUCCAGAGAGAUCUGGAGUCCCUUCGGGGCGCGGAGACAGGUGCUGCAUGGCUGUCGUCAGCUCGUGUCGUGAGAUGUUGGGUUAAGUCCCGCAACGAGCGCAACCCUCGCUUCUAGUUGCCAGCAUUUAGUUGGGCACUCUAGAGGAACUGCCUGCGCCAAGCAGGAGGAAGGCGGGGAUGACGUCAAGUCCUCAUGGCCCUUACAGGUGGGGCUACACACGUGCUACAAUGGCGGUGACAAAGGGAUAAUCCCUAAAAGCCGUCUCAGUUCGGAUUGUCCUCUGCAACUCGAGGGCAUGAAGUUGGAAUCGCUAGUAAUCGCGGAUCAGCACGCCGCGGUGAAUACGUUCCCGGGUCUUGUACACACCG